Molecule: ribosomal RNA, 420 nt
Filed under: uncultured bacterium
Lineage: Bacteria
Description: bacterial SSU rRNA
Rfam family: Bacterial small subunit ribosomal RNA
Source: RNAcentral
UAAGGAAUAUUGCUCAAUGGGAGAAAUCCUGAAGCAGCAACGCCGCGUGGAGGAUGAAGGGUCUAUGACUUGUAAACUCCUGUAAAGAAGGAAAAAAUUCCCAUUUGAUGGGAGAUGAUGGUACUUCUGGAGUAAGCCCCGGCUAACUACGUGCCAGCAGCCGCGGUAAUACGUAGGGGGCAAGCGUUGUCCGGAUUUACUGGGUGUAAAGGGUGCUCAGGCGGAUUUGUAAGUCAGAGGUGAAAUCUUACAGCUUAACUGUGAAACUGCCUUUGGUACUGCAAGCCUAGAGUAUGGAAGAGAGUGAUGGAAUAUCUGGUGUAGCAGUGAAAUGCGUAGAUAUCAGAUAGAACACCAAUGGCGAAGGCAGUCACUUGGUCCAUUACUGACGCUAAAGCACGAAAGCGUGGGUAGCAAACA